UCAGGAUCUCCUCCCUGUUAAUGCCAACUCUGCCAUGCAGUAGUAAAUACUGAUAGCAAGGCAUAAGUAACUACAAAUACCAGGCUGAGUACCCAGCUUUGUCUCUUUGCCCUUCUGCUGUAAACCCCGGAGAACUGAGCAUGUUGCUUUAUGCUGGCGGUAUAAGAAGUGGAAUGGGACCCAGUCCCCUGAAUCCUAGGGCUCAAUGACUCUUAGCGUGCUGGAUGCGAAUCUCCAUCUGCAUGCAGUACGUCUCACCUGGCAAAGCACAGGUACCCUGUGCUUUUGGGUUAUGCAACUGAUAGGCAGGUGUAAGUGGCCCAGUCCAAAACUAAUCUCCAAAUGGAAGAGCAGUGAUGGUGAAAGGGAAGGGAAAGGCUUUUCUGUCAGUGCCAGGACUCUUUUGGAUGCAAAUAAUCAGCGUAUCUGAAAACUUGAUCCAAAAGCUUUCAAGGGUGGUAUCAAAAGGCAACAAUAUAUUUAGUUUGACCCUGAUGUACACUUGGCAUUCUGCUAUGGUACAUUGGAGUAUGUGGAUGAAAAAUUAACAUGUUUCAAAACUAUCAGUCUGCAACUGUUGGUUCCAGGGCCAGCUUGCUGUAGGGCUCGUGCCCACGUAUUACAAAUGCCGCCUGGUUUAGUUGUGUCCCCCAGCAAAAUCCUGCAACAACCUUGAGUUUGGAUUUUCUCUGUCUCACUACACACUGGAGCCUGGAAUAGCAGAACCAGAAAUCACUGUAACUGGUACCUCCAGGAUGCAAAGUGAAGUCUCUUCUCUGGACACUGUUUCUUUUGAGCUACAGGGCUGACUUUCCCAUCCAAGCAACAGAGGAGAAUGGAGCAGUGCGUCUUGUCUCUGCAACUCAUUGAGUCUCUGCAAUGAAAACAGGGGGCUGGAUCCGCUGUGAAGCAGGGGUCUGCACAGCUCCAUUGGAUGUACCCCUCUGCUGGCUUCAUCAGGGGAGUAGUUGAGGGAGGAACUGCAAUCUGUCAAAGCAGUAAGAGGCAGGAAUUAAAUGCCUCUUGUACACAGGGUAAAAACCUUUCCUGGGCCUGAGCUGGCUGAAGGCAGCGUGGCUUUGCUGAAGUUAGCGGUAGGUCUUCGGAUCAGGCUUUGCACUGUCCUGUGUCUCAGGAAGAAAAUCAGACUAGUUUGACGUUUGUGUAAGGUGUGUGCUUUUUUCCAAUGCAAUACCACGGAGAGUGAGAUUUCUCCCUGUGUUUUGACAUCUCCUGUCCUUACUGAUCCCAGUUCACGUGUGUUCUCCCUGCAUCUCUCCAGCUUGUGUUCGUCUGAGCAGGCGUGCUGACUUGUGAGCAAGUUCCAGCCUGCCCCCCCAAAUUUAGGCUGGCUUAGGUGGGAGCAGAGCCUGUUAGAGAGGCUUCUGCAGAUGUCUGACUUGCUUUUCACUUCUUCCCUUGCUAAGAGCAACAUCACCAGGUGAGAAAACCCAGCAGGCAAUCAAACGGCUCAGCCUCCACCUUGUCGGGAAACAAGGCUGCACCGAGAGCGAGCGCUUGCUUUUUAGACAUGAUCCUAUAGGAUCAGGGUUCUUGCAGUGUCAGGGAUUUAAGAUUUUUGAUCUCCCCAUCCCCCCCCCCUUUUUUUCCCUGCCUGUCUGAGCAGCUCUGGGCUCCCCCGGCAUCACUUCAGCGCAAGGACCCGUCUGACACUACUUAUGCCAGGUCCUGCCUCCCGCGCAGGAGAAGCAGUCUGCAACUUUUGCUGCUCCAGGCAGCACUUCAUCUCUGAGCAAGCAGCGCUCUGCAGAGUGGAUUUGGGGAGAACUGCACCCGGAGCAGCAACCCAAGGGUGGAAGAAGACCCCAAUGCUCUGUUGGCUGGCUGCUGUCUGACGAGGGCUCUGAAGUGCUCCCGAAGGAGAUGUGAGAUGUCCUACAGUGCUGCUUCCACGCUGGACCCCUCGGCAGCAUAACCUGCUAACUGAGCAGUGUUUGGCCACCUUGCUCUGGAAGGAGUUGCAAGAGAGUGUGGCCUCUGCUGCAAUUAAGGAAGCUGGUCUCUCUGCUUGGCACAAGUGCACAGCUGCACUCGCCCGCACUGCUCAGCUGCUCUUGCAAAGGAGACCUGGAAACACAUAAUCUGGGGAAAGUCUGGAUUCUUUUAUCUCCUUCUCUGGAUUCUUUUAUCUCUUUCUCAAGGAAUUUGCCACCUAUAUGUUAGUGAUGUUUAUUUAAGGGGAGAGAAAUCACAUAUUAGUGACUUGUGACAGACAAUUUGCAUCAGUGUCUGUGGAUCUGUCUCCAUAGUGGUACUGUUGGUGGGAAUGGAUGGGGAGUGGUUGGGACUUUAAAGGAUACACUGAAAUUGCUGUAAUCCUCCACACUAUCUGAUGAUAUUGUUUUACCCUUGGUAGGUGAAGUGGUAAUAUAGUGCACUAUGAUGUCUCGGAUGUAGGAUGGAGAUCAACAAGCUGGCACUCAGCAGAGAGGGUAAGUAACUUCCCUGUACAUGUAUAUUUUUCUCACCUGGCGUUAAAACCUAUUGCCAAUGUCUGUACACAAUACCAGUUUUUAAUUAAUGCAUGAUACUGUGACCAAGGAUAACUAAAGGCAAAAUAUGAGUUUAAACAAAUCCACGUUCAGAUCAUAGUUCCCUGGAGUUUGAGGAUGGAAGGGAUCCACUGAAGUAAUCUGACCACUGAGCAGCAAUAAUUCAUUCAGUUACUCUAAUAGCUUGCUGGGCUGAACCAGAAUGCCAGAAAAGUGAAUC
This is a long non-coding RNA of Cygnus olor (mute swan), 2733 nucleotides long. RefSeq lists it as uncharacterized. The transcript is spliced from 3 exons. Lineage: Eukaryota; Metazoa; Chordata; Aves; Anseriformes; Anatidae. The record is from RefSeq and is a predicted model, not a curated record.